Molecule: long non-coding RNA, 422 nt
Filed under: Phoenix dactylifera (date palm)
Lineage: Eukaryota; Viridiplantae; Streptophyta; Magnoliopsida; Arecales; Arecaceae
Description: long non-coding RNA (PDAC_LNC006213)
Source: RNAcentral
AUUUCAACAAUGAACAGUAAAAUAGAGGUUAGAUGUCACCAAGUGUUGAAAUUUCAAAAAUCCAAACCGUUCGAUCUGUAAUUGUUAAUGUUGGGAGCAAUAUACUGAAAUUUCAGCCAAAUCUAAACAAAAUCAACCAUUCGAUCAUCUGACACUAUAGAAAAAUCGGCCUUUUCCGAUGCUUUUUUUCGGAUGCUAGGAAGAAGCGUUGGGAAAAAAGGGUACCGCGCCAAAAUUUGCCGACGCUUCAAUUAAGCAUCAGUAAUUCUCAAGAAUAGACGCCGCGUAAUAGCAUUGUCGUAUUCCUACAGAAAAAACCAACGCUUUUUAAAAGCAUCGGUAAUACACGCGUAUAAGCAUUGUACUCACUAGCCUAAGACGACGCGUAUAAAUGUCGUCAAAAGUCAAAUUCACAACAAAAC